This 397-nucleotide ribosomal RNA is filed under the name uncultured bacterium. RNAcentral describes it as "bacterial SSU rRNA". It matches the Rfam family "Bacterial small subunit ribosomal RNA", at positions 362 to 776 of the family's 1533-position model. The record is from RNAcentral.
UAUUGCACAAUGGGGGAAACCCUGAUGCAGCGACGCCGCGUGAGUGAAGAAGUAUUUCGGUAUGUAAAGCUCUAUCAGCAGGGAAGAUAAUGACGGUACCUGACUAAGAAGCCCCGGCUACGUACGUGCCAGCAAGCGCGGGAAUACGUAGGGGGCAAGCGUUAUCCGGAAUUACUGGGUGUAAAGGGAGCGUAGACGGUGAUGUAAGUCUGGAGUGAAAGGCGGGGGCCCAACCCCCGGACUGCUCUGGAAACUAUGUGACUGGAGUGCAGGAGAGGUGAGCGGAAUUCCUAGUGUAGCGGUGAAAUGCGUAGAUAUUAGGAGGAACACCAGUGGCGAAGGCGGCUCACUGGACUGUGACUGACGUUGAGGCUCGAAAGCGUGGGGAGCAAACAGG